RNAcentral lists this ribosomal RNA (530 nucleotides) under uncultured bacterium. RNAcentral's name for it is "bacterial SSU rRNA". It matches the Rfam family "Bacterial small subunit ribosomal RNA", at positions 777 to 1304 of the family's 1533-position model. The record is from RNAcentral.
AAUAGAUACCCGGGUAGUCCACGCCGUAAACGAUGAGUGCUAAGUGUUAGGGGGUUUCCGCCCCUUAGUGCUGCAGCUAACGCAUUAAGCACUCCGCCUGGGGAGUACGGUCGCAAGACUGAAACUCAAAGGAAUUGACGGGGGCCCGCACAAGCGGUGGAGCAUGUGGUUUAAUUCGAAGCAACGCGAAGAACCUUACCAGGUCUUGACAUCCCGUUGACCACUGUAGAGAUAUAGUUUCCCCUUCGGGGGCAACGGUGACAGGUGGCGCAUGGUUGUCGUCAGCUCGUGUCGUGAGAUGUUGGGUUAAGUCCCGCAACGAGCGCAACCCUUGAUCUUAGUUGCCAUCAUUUAGUUGGGCACUCUAAGGUGACUGCCGGUGACAAACCGGGAGGAAGGUGGGGAUGACGUCAAAUCAUCAUGCCCCUUAUGACCUGGGCUACACACGUGCUACAAUGGAUGGUACAAAGGGCUGCAAGACCGCGAGGUCAAGCCAAUCCCAUAAAACCAUUCUCAGUUCGGAUUGUAGG